GACUAUCUCCCUACAAAGGCCAGCAAACGGAGACCUAGAGAAGCUAAAUGACUUCUAAGUAACUAGUGAAGAGCUGCAACUACCAGCCCAUCUCUCCAGUUCUGAGGGGCCACAUUCUUUCCAUUAGGUUUGAAGAAGCAGAGGGAAUGCCUCUUCGAUUUUAUUGUUUGUUUAUUUUUUUUCUGUUUAUAAAGAUUUUUUUUUUUUUUUUUGCAUUGAGCAGGAAGGUUUUGUGUGUGUUUUUUCUUUCUGUCUUUCUUUCCUUCUAGAGAUUUUGUAAGAAGAAAUGAGUUUCCUUGUCCAAUUCAGUAUAUUUGCUGGUCACCUAUUGGGAGUAAAUUAGCAUAUGUGUAUCAGAACAAUAUCUAUUUGAAACAAAGACCAGAAAACCCACCUUUCCAAAUAACAUAUAAUGGAAAAGAAAAUAAAAUAUUUAAUGGAACCCAAGACUGGGUUUAUGAAGAGGAAACACUUGCUACAAAAUAUGUUUUCUGGUGGUCUCCAAGUGGAAAGUUUUUGGUAUAUGCAGAGUUUAAUGAUACAGAAAUUCCAGUGAUUGCCUAUUCCUAGUAUGGUGAUGAG
Long non-coding RNA from Myotis daubentonii (Daubenton's bat), 582 nucleotides. RefSeq lists it as uncharacterized. Lineage: Eukaryota; Metazoa; Chordata; Mammalia; Chiroptera; Vespertilionidae. The record is from RefSeq and is a predicted model, not a curated record.